Molecule: unclassified non-coding RNA, 422 nt
Filed under: uncultured Exidiaceae
Lineage: Eukaryota; Fungi; Basidiomycota; Agaricomycetes; Auriculariales
Description: sequence contains ITS2
Rfam family: 5.8S ribosomal RNA (bases 1-154)
Source: RNAcentral
AACUUUUAGCAAUGGAUCUCUUGGCUCUCGCAUCGAUGAGGAAUGCAGCGAAAUGCGAUAAGUAAUGUGAAUUGCAGAAUUCAGUGAAUCAUCAAAUCUUUGAACGCACCUUGCACCCUUUGGUAUUCCGAAGGGUAUGCUCGUUUGAGUGUCAUUGUACUCUCACACUCUCUGAUCCUUUGGAUUCAGGGAGUGGUGGACUUGGAUGUUUGCUGCUUUCCUAGUGGCUCACCUCAAAUGCGUCAGUGCACCUCUUGGUUGGACAUAGUACGGCGUGAUAAGUAUCUUCGCCGGCACCUCACGAGAGGGUGGCUGAUCGGGAGCUCUGUGCUUUCAAACCGUCUUCGGACAAUACAUGACAAUUUGACCUCAAAUCAGGUAGGACUACCCGCUGAACUUAAGCAUAUCAAUAAGCGGAGGCU